ACAACCUGCAAGUCCAUUUAACUCCCCGCUGCCCCUCUCUCCCACCCCCAGGUCUGUGGAGCCAGAAGGGGAGGAUUCACACGGAUGCCCCCAUUUGGGGGGGCCCGUCUCCCAAGGGCAGUGCCCGUCGCUGGGCAGGUGGAGACGGCUGGGGCGGGCAAAGUGCCCGGGGGCAGCAUGGUGCUGGUGUCCCAUCUCCCUUGGCACAGGCAGAACCAUCAGGAGGCUCCACUGGCUGGGGUGAGAGCGGGUCAG
This 255-nucleotide long non-coding RNA is filed under the name Gopherus agassizii (Agassiz's desert tortoise). RNAcentral describes it as "lncRNA (ENSGAGG00000008861.1)". Lineage: Eukaryota; Metazoa; Chordata; Testudines; Testudinidae. The record is from RNAcentral.